GCGCAAGAGACCUCACGUUCAGCACGAGACUCACCUUUGGCUCUGUAAACAACACGACGCUUGACCACAAUCAAAACAAAGCUUUCUGACCGUUUUGAAGAUAUAAAAGUAAAUUUCCUGCAGGUGACAGUCAGUGAGAGCCUUUAAAUGUCAUUUAUCAGCACACAUUUCAGCCCUUCAGGCAAAAACACGCGACUAUCCCCGGAUGAAGUGCAGGAAUGCUGGACACUCCAUCACCUUUCAGCCUACUUUACUGUAUUACCGCUCCAGGUGUGUCCGAGCCGUCACUGCUUUGUCUUACUGCCCCAGGAUUGUCCGUGCGUUUGCCUUACCGCCACAGAUGAGCUUGUGAUUCAUUGAACACAGCUGGCAGAUCCUUUAUGGUUCAUCAGUCCUCAUGUCAGUCUGAUCAACUGCUUCUGAGCUGGACCUGAGAGAGACAUCUAGUGCUCAAUGCUGAAAUUACAGCUCAUUCACAAACAAAUGAGUGGAAUAUUGUCCCAGCACAUUGCUCAACAUCAGUUGUGUUUAAUUGUGCUUUAUAAAUAAAGGUUUGAUGAUCAAAUAUACAUCUAUGGCUGAACUACAACUAUUUUAGCUAUCAGAAAUCCCAGCCCUCACCUGUGUGAAGAAAAUGACGUUUAGCCUUGUUCUGGAGGUCAUCGUCAUCCUCUGGGGUGAAGAACAGCUUAACUGAAGCCUCCUGCUCAAACACAGUGUUUCUAACAAAAGCCGGAGCAUCACAUAUAACUGAUCAAGGGAAAUGACUCUAUUACCAUAUUCUCCUUCAACAGCGCAAGCCCUACUUGAUCUGCUUGGACACACGAUCCACUUCCAAACCGCUGAGGACCGUAAUAAUUCACAAAGCCAUUGUUCUGGAAAAUAAAGUCAUAUUUUUGUAGUUCUGUGUGUACAUUUCUUCAUGAAAUGCUGCUGAACAUGCGCACAUUCUAACUUUACACACUCCAAUUUUAGGAUCCCACAACGACUCCAUCCCCAUCUUAUCUUUCAGGCACUGUUGUUCACAUCCUUUUCUCCACAUUGCUUCUCAUUGAUGAGACAGAAUAAAUACUUUGCAAUAAAUUUGAUGAUUUAAGUUUUAGAAAGCAAAUUGAUAUUUUACCAAAUUGGUCAAAGUGAAUGUAAAGUGUACAAAUGCAUACACACAAUACACAUAGAAUGAAACUAGUUUUUUAUUUUGUUGAAAUUGUUAGACUAAUAUUUAAAGCUUUGUACUCAAAGGCUCUUUAAGUAAACCCUCAUCACUAUGAAUAUUUUGCAAUAUACACUCUGCUAUUAAAAAAAUAAGUUCUGGCACCAUCUUGUGGCUCUUUCCAAGUACUUCAUAAUCACAUUAAAAUACCGAAAUAAUUAGAUGAAGUAAAAGAAAAAAAUAACAAAUAUUGGGAAAAUCAUUUACCGCUUAGGAGAGAUCUUGGACCACAGCACUCAUGUGUUUAUCAGGAAAAGUUCCCAACAACAGUUCCACCUUUUCCUGAUCAUCUGAAGAGGGUUUCACUUCCAGUUUAUUAGUAAAAUACUCCAAUUCCCUGAUCCUGCUGAGCCGCUCUCCUGAGUUUAGCUGCAACCCUGAUUUUUUAUUCAAUAAGUGUGCUUGAACAAUAACAGAAAGGCGUCAAUACUUCAGCCCUGAUUAAAAACGCAGCAGCAGCUAAUCAAGGCCUUCAGCAUCACUUGAAACAUCCAGACUGAUGUGCUGCAUUGCUUGUGACACAGAUAAUAAUUAAAACAUCAACAUUUUUUUAAACUAUUGAAUUAUUGAUAUUUUUUACUUUGAUAAUAUAUUUUACUGACCAUUUUUAUGAUGCUGUAUAACUCAGAUCUCUUGUUUUACUACAUGGAAUAAUGUUUUCUUGCCACAUCAGUUUAGUCUCUCAAAUCAAAGCUGAACUGAACCACUGUCCUAAGAGUCAUUAAAAUAAACACAUCAGCAGUCCAGUCAGGGGCCUGUAGUGUGAAGCUGGAUUAGCUGGUUAGACGGUUCACUUUCAGUUUAGUUUGCACAAGUUCUGGGUUUUAUGUAGGGCUGCAGGAUAUUGGGAAAAACUGACAUUGCGAUAUUUAGUUUUUCUGCGAUAUAUACUGCAAUAGGAAUAUAAUUUCACAAUAUGAAUAAUAAUUUGAAUUUGGAGAAAUGUUGAUUGUGAUGAUUUUAUCGAGAGUGAAUCUGCAUAAAAUAUAAUAAACAUACAACAAGCAGAAAUUAAUAAAAUAGAAGAAAUAUACAAAUGAUAUAAACAGUGCUUUAUGGCUUUCUGGAGAGUCUAACAGUACUGAGGGACAGAAAUUAAAAGAUCAAAUGUAAAAUAUCACUUUAUAAGGUGAAAACCUUUCAUUAAAGUGGUCCUCAAACUGUUUAACAACAUCUCGUCUGGUCUUAGGAACAUUUUGAAACACUUUUCUGAUACACUUCAAAUGUUGACUACUUUAGUCUUCACUGUAGAAAUAAUUCAAUGCAAUUAUUCUUUGUUGAAGCUACACAUUUGAUCAUUUCUAGCGCCCAAAUGGUUUAAAUUCACUUGAAAUCUUACAUUGUCUAAUGCAGGCCUGAAAAAUCUUUCACUCAGUGAGGGUUAAACUGUUCUGAACUGAACUCUGUUCUCUGGUUAAUCACAAUCCCGACUCAACAUAGAAGAUCCUGUGAUGUGACUAUUGCAGAUUUGCAGAUUGUGAUAACGAUGCUGAAACAAGAUAUUGUACAGUUCUAGUUUUAGGUAACAUGAAAGUAGCUGGACUUCAAUCACUCUUUGUUGGUAUCAUGGAGCAGCCGAGCAGAGCUAAGCUCCUUCAUGGUACCUAAAACCCAGAUUUUAUGCAAAUUAACUGAAACUGAACUGGCUAGCCACUAAUCUGGCUUCAUGGCACAGGCUCCACAUCUCUACAAUGAGCGAAUGCUGUGGUGUGUUUGAGAACAGGACGGUGGUGUCUCUCCCUGAGCUCCAGAACUGUGUCCAGAAGGGCUUCUGCUUUUGCCUGCAAAAAAAUUAAAACACUCCGCCGUCUCUUUCCCAGUUGUUUUGGUUCUCACUCUUCCCUUUCUAGAGGAGUGACCCUCCAAAAAGAAAAUGAUGGUAACCGACAUGUUGAACAACACAAACACAAGUGAGAAAUCUUCACACACUGACACAUAUAUUUCAGGAGUAACUUCAUAAAUCACAACACAGUGAAUAGAAACAGUUUUAGAUCACCCACACCACAGCUAAAACUGAAGAAUCUGUCAUCAUUUUGAAGGAUUCGGAUCCUUUUUGCAUCAUCCUGUUUCUCAUUAUCUUUAUUAAAUAUGAUUAUUUAAUGAGUAUUUAACUUUGAAAUGAUUUUAACUAAUGAAUAAGUUAACACACUGCUCUAUGUAAGAAUGUUCAGUGCAUUUGCCUGUCUCUAUUGUUAUUUCUAUAAGUUGAUACUAUCUAAAAUGUCUAAAGUGAUUUUGCUCUUUUUAUGUUUAAUUCUUUUAAAGUGAUUCUACUUUUUAUUCAAGAUAGACUUUGUGUAGUAAGGAUAUCACUGCCUGAAUGUAGAUUAUACCGGUUUUUAACCAGUUUUGAUACAGACGGCUGAGAAUACACUCAUGCUUGGGUAAGAAACAGAUUAUACUUUAAGUGUGUGUGUUCUAUUUGAAUGUGGAUCCGUUUCACAGGUCUGGAGUCAGCUCUAAACAGUCUAGUGGAUGUCUGACGUUUAUGCUUAAGAUAUUGUUCAGAAUUGUACGCACGAACCCCACGUGGAAAUUUUCCUAGUCUAUCUGUGUUUUAACCAAUCAGGUUAGAACACCAAUAUGUGUGAUGCAGUUAAUGACGUUAUGUGAGAGUAUAAUUGUUAUUGAUUGGUGAUUGUAAGCAGAGCGGCAUAGGAACUCAUUGUGAGUGUUGAAGCUGGCUUCUGCUGAUGAAACUGCAACUAUCUUCAGUAAACUUUAUUUAUUUAUUUGAAA
Molecule: long non-coding RNA, 3952 nt
Organism: Danio aesculapii
Lineage: Eukaryota; Metazoa; Chordata; Actinopteri; Cypriniformes; Danionidae
Exons: 4
Source: RefSeq, a predicted model, not a curated record